UACGUAGGGUGCAAGCGUUAAUCGGAAUUACUGGGCGUAAAGCGUGCGCAGGCGGUUUUGUAAGUUUGUCGUGAAAUCCCCGGGCUCAACCUGGGAAUUGCGAUGAAGACUGCAAGGCUAGAAUCUGGCAGAGGGGGGUAGAAUUCCACGUGUGAGCAGUGAAAUGCGUAGAGAUGUGGAGGAACACCGAUGGCGAAGGCAGCCCCCUGGGUCAAGAUUGACGCUCAUGCACGAAAGCGUGGGGAGCAAACGAGG
This 255-nucleotide ribosomal RNA is filed under the name uncultured bacterium. RNAcentral describes it as "partial 16S ribosomal RNA". It matches the Rfam family "Bacterial small subunit ribosomal RNA", at positions 524 to 777 of the family's 1533-position model. The record is from RNAcentral.